This 319-nucleotide RNase P RNA is filed under the name Flavobacteriaceae bacterium. RNAcentral's name for it is "Bacterial RNase P class A". It matches the Rfam family "Bacterial RNase P class A". From Rfam's summary of the family: Ribonuclease P (RNase P) is a ubiquitous endoribonuclease, found in archaea, bacteria and eukarya as well as chloroplasts and mitochondria. Its best characterised activity is the generation of mature 5'-ends of tRNAs by cleaving the 5'-leader elements of precursor-tRNAs. The record is from Rfam by way of RNAcentral. Lineage: Bacteria; Pseudomonadati; Bacteroidota; Flavobacteriia; Flavobacteriales; Flavobacteriaceae.
CAAGUAAAUUGCCUUAUCGCUUUAUGUUAAAUCAAUUUUUGACUUAAAGAGGAAAGUCCGAACACCAUAGUGUAGCAUAGCGGUUAAUGACCGUCAAUCGUGAGAUUAGGAAAAGUGCAACAGAAAGAAUGUACAGAUAAUGCUGUAGUGAAAUCAGGUAAACUCUAUGUGGUGCAAUGUUAUGUAUACCAACGUUUAAGUGUAACACGUGCGAUGUUGGAGGGUAAACAGCUAAAGUUUAUUGGUAACAAUAAACGUAGAUAAAUGAUAGGGAUUCGCUAAGCGAAUACAGAAUUCGGCUUAUAGAUUUACUUACUCU